CAAUAUGUAGAUCCCUGAAUGUGCCCGAUCUCGUCUGAUCUCGGAAGCUAAGUAGGGUCGGGCCUGGUUAGUACUUGGAUGGGAGUAUGGAGUUUUGGUUUUGA
This 104-nucleotide ribosomal RNA is filed under the name Spermophilus dauricus (Daurian ground squirrel). Lineage: Eukaryota; Metazoa; Chordata; Mammalia; Rodentia; Sciuridae. The record is from RNAcentral.